This 31-nucleotide non-coding RNA is filed under the name Prorocentrum micans. Lineage: Eukaryota; Dinophyceae; Prorocentrales; Prorocentraceae. The record is from RNAcentral.
AAACGCCAUUACCGGGGCGGCAGCGUCAUCC